CAUAGUCAGGACCCAUGAUGCUGUCAAGUAGUGGUAAAGAUAGCACCAUGUUCUGUGACCCUACAGGUCCCACUAGCAAAAUAUUUGCUUUCUAUUCUCACAAACUUAUGACUUCCUGAACUAGAGGCCUUAGUUCCAAAGGGAGGAUGCUUCUACAGGGAGACAAAACAAAGUUAUAUUCAAUAGAUGUUAAGACCAUACCACCCAAUCACUUCAGUGUCCUCAAGCCAUUGGAUCAAUAGGCAAAGAAAGAAGUUACUGUGUUGACUUGAAUGAUUGACCCUGAUACUGAGGGGAAAUUGGACUGUACUUUACAAUGGAGGUUAUUUAUUCCAAGACGAUGUCAGUUUGAAGAUGGCAUUAUUCUGAACAUCCCCAAUCAUCAUUGAGGGAAGCUAGGACUGUAAGGUCUGAAUUAAG
This is a long non-coding RNA of Talpa occidentalis (Iberian mole), 420 nucleotides long. RefSeq lists it as uncharacterized. The transcript is spliced from 3 exons. NCBI's taxonomy places the organism in Eukaryota, Metazoa, Chordata, Mammalia, Eulipotyphla, Talpidae. The record is from RefSeq and is a predicted model, not a curated record.